This 1475-nucleotide long non-coding RNA is filed under the name Homo sapiens (human). RNAcentral's name for it is "HSALNT0046668". Lineage: Eukaryota; Metazoa; Chordata; Mammalia; Primates; Hominidae. The record is from RNAcentral.
CCUGCUUCAGCCUCCCGAGUAGCUGGGACUACAGGCGCCUGCCACGACGCCCGGCUAAGUUUUUGUAUUUUUAGUAGAGACGGGGUUUCACCGUGUUAGCCAGGAUGGCCUGGAUCUCCUGACCUCGUGAUCCGCCCGCCUUGGCCUCCCAGAGUGCUGGAUUCCAGGCGUGAGCCACCGCGCCCGGCCCCUCUUUCUCCAUCUUUAAAGACAGCAGGACAUGGAGAACAACCACGGCUGUGCCCGGUUCUUCAGGUGGCUGCCAGUCCCCCCGUGCCUGCUCCCUGUCCCUGCCUGCCUUCCCGCUGAUGAUGACUGACGUUCUGGGACGGAGGAGCAGGUUAGGCCUAGGUACAGUUGUGUGCUGGUAAAUUUGUAACAAAAGGCUCUCCAGGGGAAGAAAAGCCCUGAUUUUCAGUGUUUGCCAAUUUCCACGGUAUUAAAAGUACUCACACCAAGGCCGGUUUUAAGCAGUGCUCCUGAAGUCCCUGAAGACAGAGUUGAAAAGCAUCGUGCACAGUUGACUCUUCUAAGCUAGUCCGAGCUGGCUCCAACACACUACUGCCUAUGAAUGAAACUGUUGAUCAGAGUUGCAGUAUUGAUUCUUCCUGUGGCCAUGGAUACACAUAUGGAAAAAGAGGAAGUAUUCUAGAGAAUAUAAAAAGACUUCUUGAGUACUAAGAGGUCGUGAAGACAGCUUUGGAAAUGUUAUAAGCGUCAAGAUUCGCUCAAGAUACACCUGCUUCUCUUGCAAAAGGCUACUUCAGCAAGCCUGUUCUCUUUGGAAAUCUCCAGAGGAGACAGAGGUGUCAGUGUCUAUGGAAAUGUACAACUCACACGUUUGGGAAUCUGACAUGCCCUUCCAAGAACUCCCUCUUCUACUCCGUUCUACUCCACUAUGAGCAUUAUUCAAAAGAGCCAAGAUAUGGAAGCAACUGAAGUGCUCAUCAACAGGUGAGUGGAUUUUUAACAAGUAGUAUAUGUACAUGAUGGAAUAUUAUUUGGCCUUAGAAAUGAAAGAAAUUCUGUCAUUUGUGACCACAUGGAUGAAUCUAGAGGACAUUAUGCUAUGUGAAAUAAGCCAGGCACAGAAAGACAAAUAUCACAUGAUCUCACUUCUGUGUGGAAUCUAAAAAAGUCAAACUCUUAGAGAAGUAGAAAACAGAAUAGUGGUUACGAGAAGCAGAGGGGAGGGGAGGAGAGUGCAUGGUGAAAGAGAUGUUGGUCAAAGGUACAAAGAUUAGUUAGACAUGAGAAAUAAGUUCUGGUGAUCUGUACAGCAUGGUGACUAUAGUGAAUAAUGUACUGUAGAUUUCAAAAUUACUAUAAAAGAAUGGAUUUUUAAUAUUCUCACUAUAGGGAAAUGAUAAGUGUGUGAGGUGAUGGAUGUAUUAGCCUGAUUCCAUCCUUCCACAAAUGCAGACAUGUAUCAAAAGAUCACAUUGUACUCCAUAAAUAUGUAUAUUUAUUAUUUG